CGGGGAUCUUUACCCAUCUUAGUUAGAAAAGUGACCAGGAGUGGGUCAAGUUCAGGGGUGACAGCCACCUUAUCAGGGAUCAUAGGCCGUGGACAUUCUGCUCUUAAAUUGGGCCUAAUCUCCUUUUCUAAGGGUUUACGAAGCCAUAAUCUGCAAUAUUUUGCAAUGUGAUCAGGGGGUGUCCAUUCCGCUGAACGAGGGUGUCUGAUGCAGCGUGGGUCAAAUAGAG
Pelobates cultripes (western spadefoot toad) is the source of this 229-nucleotide non-coding RNA. The record is from the annotation of a GenBank genome assembly. NCBI's taxonomy places the organism in Eukaryota, Metazoa, Chordata, Amphibia, Anura, Pelobatidae.